AGUACCCCGCGUCCACUGUGGCUGUGAGCGCGCCGUCCGCGCCCACCUGACAGCGGCUCGCUACGUCUUGUUAGCU
RNAcentral lists this small RNA (76 nucleotides) under Xanthomonas oryzae pv. oryzicola. RNAcentral's name for it is "sX9 sRNA". It matches the Rfam family "Xanthomonas sRNA sX9". Lineage: Bacteria; Pseudomonadati; Pseudomonadota; Gammaproteobacteria; Lysobacterales; Lysobacteraceae. The record is from RNAcentral.